RNAcentral lists this unclassified non-coding RNA (240 nucleotides) under soil metagenome. Its description in RNAcentral is "partial contains 5.8S ribosomal RNA, internal transcribed spacer 2, and large subunit ribosomal RNA". The record is from RNAcentral.
AACGGUCUAUACCUGCGGUACCUGCGGAGGGAUCAUUACCGAGUUUACAACUCCCAAACCCCCUGUGAACCUAUACCAUUACUGUUGCUUCGGCGGGUCAUUGCCCCGGGGAAAGGACGAGGUGCCGCCUAGGCUCCCCGGCCCGCCCCCGGAAACAGGCGCCUGCCGGGGGAAUCAAACUCUUCUGUAUUUUUUACUUUUACUGUUAUACUGUCUGAGUACAAAGCUAUAAAUGAAUCA